AGCUGCUUGCAUGAUCCGUUCCGUUCCAUGGAAUAAGAAAUUGGGAUGUGAUGACAAAAAUUAAAAUUAAAGGUGGCGGCAAUGCUAUCUUUUCUUUCGAGCUGCCUUCCUUGGAUUGGAGGCAGGAAAAAAAAAGAGAUCAAUUGAAACCAGGAGGAACACGAAGUCAGCGCGACGAGGAUGGUGGGAUUUGGAUACAGUUCAAUGAAUCAUCCGCUUCAUCAACCUGCCACGGAGCUGGGCCAUAUGCAUGCUUGAAGAUGAGAGGGGAACAGAAAGGCAACGAUCGAGGAGGGGGAAGAGAAAAGAUCUCUGGACUAGAGAAACGUGUGGCCAUGGUCACUCUCAAGGACGUGACUCCCUCCCGCGUGGGCCAAAGAGAAGCACCCAACUGUCAGUCUGUCACCAUUAGGGCCACUCUGAAAAACAAUCCCGGCUCCUCCUCCUGCUGCUCUGCUGCUAAUCAGACGCCACGCCACCACUUAUAUGAUGGGCUCCAUCGCCAAGAAACUGAGCCAUCCGGUCCCAAAAGUAGAAAAGGGCAAGCGACGAGCACAGCACAGCACAGCACAAGCACGCCUUCCGUUUUGGGAAGGCGAGGAGAGGGGAACCCCGGCCCAGGGAGAGUUGUGGGGAGGGGAUCGGCGGCGGAGGAGAUGGAGGAGCGGGAGAAGCUCGUGUGCCUGGCCAAGCUUGCCGAGCAGGCGGAGCGGUACGACGAUAUGGUGGAAUUCAUGAAGAAUCUUGCUAGGAUGGACGUGGAUAUGAGUGCUGAAGAAAGGCAUUUGUUCUCAGUUGGUUUCAAGAACACUAUUGGAGCAAAGAGAGCAUCAUGGAGAAUCAUUUGUUCACAUGAGCAAAAGGUCGCAGCUGAUCGUCAGACUGGUGUGAUGAUAGAUGCCUAUAAGAAGAAAGUAGAAGAGGAACUAAGGAAGGUUUGCAAUGAAGUAUUGUCAGUCAUUGCUAUUCACUGCCUUCCCUUGGCCAGUACGGGUGAAAAUAUCGUAUUCUUUUAUAAGAUGAAAGGUGACUACUACCGUUACUUGGCUGAAUUUAGCACUGGAACUGAAAAGAAAGCUGCCUCUGAUCAGUCACUUAUGGCCUAUCAGAGCUUGCCAAGUGGCAAAACAAGCAUUUGAUGAGGCUCUUACUGAGAUAAAUUCUGGUGAGGGAGUUUACAAGGAUAGCACACUUAUGAUGCAGCUUCUGAAGGACAACUUAGCAUUGUGGACAUCAGAACUAACUGGGGGUGAAGCAUCCAAGGGUAACGGCGAUGUCGACAUGGAGGGUUGAUACAUUCUCCAUGUUUUAAGGAAACACAGAACGCACGCAAAAAUAUCCAGGCUGUGAUGCUAGCGAACCUGGGUCCUCAAGUUUUUUCUGCAUCGGAACUAAGAAGAGCCUUGUGUAUUUUUCUGAAGUUUCUGUCCGUCUCGGGGUUUUUUUUUUGAGGUCUGUUUGUUCCUCUCUUUUGGCCAUCGUUUGGUCCUGGAGUCAGUCACUCACUACCAAGUGUUUCAGAGGUCUGAACUGGUGAGCAUCCAGAUCUGUUGUUGCUUUUUUUUCCUUCUGUGCUUCAGAGGCAUCUUUGUACACCGAUGGAAAACUGUUUCUCUUAUCAACGCA
This is an RNA transcript of Zea mays, 1626 nucleotides long. It is a transcript of the gene named 14-3-3-like protein, with no coding region annotated. The transcript is spliced from 6 exons. The record is from RefSeq and is marked provisional. Lineage: Eukaryota; Viridiplantae; Streptophyta; Magnoliopsida; Poales; Poaceae.